GAUGAACGCUGGCGGCGUGCCUAAUACAUGCAAGUCGAGCGAACGGACGAGAAGCUUGCUUCUCUGAUGUUAGCGGCGGACGGGUGAGUAACACGUGGAUAACCUACCUAUAAGACUGGGAUAACUUCGGGAAACCGGAGCUAAUACCGGAUAAUAUUUUGAACCGCAUGGUUCAAAAGUGAAAGACGGUCUUGCUGUCACUUAUAGAUGGAUCCGCGCUGCAUUAGCUAGUUGGUAAGGUAACGGCUUACCAAGGCAACGAUGCAUAGCCGACCUGAGAGGGUGAUCGGCCACACUGGAACUGAGACACGGUCCAGACUCCUACGGGAGGCAGCAGUAGGGAAUCUUCCGCAAUGGGCGAAAGCCUGACGGAGCAACGCCGCGUGAGUGAUGAAGGUCUUCGGAUCGUAAAACUCUGUUAUUAGGGAAGAACAUAUGUGUAAGUAACUGUGCACAUCUUGACGGUACCUAAUCAGAAAGCCACGGCUAACUACGUGCCAGCAGCCGCGGUAAUACGUAGGUGGCAAGCGUUAUCCGGAAUUAUUGGGCGUAAAGCGCGCGUAGCGGUUUUUUAAGUCUGAUGUGAAAGCCCACGGCUCAACCGUGGAGGGUCAUUGGAAACUGGAAAACUUGAGUGCAGAAGAGGAAAGUGGAAUUCCAUGUGUAGCGGUGAAAUGCGCAGAGAUAUGGAGGAACACCAGUGGCGAAGGCGACUUUCUGGUCUGUAACUGACGCUGAUGUGCGAAAGCGUGGGGAUCAAACAGGAUUAGAUACCCUGGUAGUCCACGCCGUAAACGAUGAGUGCUAAGUGUUAGGGGGUUUCCGCCCCUUAGUGCUGCAGCUAACGCAUUAAGCACUCCGCCUGGGGAGUACGACCGCAAGGUUGAAACUCAAAGGAAUUGACGGGGACCCGCACAAGCGGUGGAGCAUGUGGUUUAAUUCGAAGCAACGCGAAGAACCUUACCAAAUCUUGACAUCCUUUGACAACUCUAGAGAUAGAGCCUUCCCCUUCGGGGGACAAAGUGACAGGUGGUGCAUGGUUGUCGUCAGCUCGUGUCGUGAGAUGUUGGGUUAAGUCCCGCAACGAGCGCAACCCUUAAGCUUAGUUGCCAUCAUUAAGUUGGGCACUCUAAGUUGACUGCCGGUGACAAACCGGAGGAAGGUGGGGAUGACGUCAAAUCAUCAUGCCCCUUAUGAUUUGGGCUACACACGUGCUACAAUGGACAAUACAAAGGGCAGCAAAACCGCGAGGUCAAGCAAAUCCCAUAAAGUUGUUCUCAGUUCGGAUUGUAGUCUGCAACUCGACUACAUGAAGCUGGAAUCGCUAGUAAUCGUAGAUCAGCAUGCUACGGUGAAUACGUUCCCGGGUCU
This 1371-nucleotide ribosomal RNA is filed under the name uncultured bacterium. RNAcentral describes it as "bacterial SSU rRNA". It matches the Rfam family "Bacterial small subunit ribosomal RNA", at positions 28 to 1381 of the family's 1533-position model. The record is from RNAcentral.